RNAcentral lists this ribosomal RNA (482 nucleotides) under Tychius quinquepunctatus. Its description in RNAcentral is "SSU rRNA". It matches the Rfam family "Eukaryotic small subunit ribosomal RNA", at positions 109 to 568 of the family's 1831-position model. Lineage: Eukaryota; Metazoa; Arthropoda; Insecta; Coleoptera; Curculionidae. The record is from RNAcentral.
GUUAUGGUUCCUUAGAUCGUACCCACACUUACUUGGAUAACUGUGGUAAUUCUAGAGCUAAUACAUGCAAACAGAGCUCCGACCGGAGACGGAAGGAGUGCUUUUAUUAGAUCAAAACCAAUCGGUGGCGGGCUCGCUCGUCAUCGUACAACUUGGUGACUCUGAAUAACUUUACGCUGAUCGCACGGUCUUCGCACCGGCGACGCAUCUUUCAAAUGUCUGCCUUAUCAACUGUCGAUGGUAGGUUCUGCGCCUACCAUGGUUGUAACGGGUAACGGGGAAUCAGGGUUCGAUUCCGGAGAGGGAGCCUGAGAAACGGCUACCACAUCCAAGGAAGGCAGCAGGCGCGCAAAUUACCCACUCCCGGCACGGGGAGGUAGUGACGAAAAAUAACGAUACGGGACUCAUCCGAGGCCCCGUAAUCGGAAUGAGUACACUCUAAACCCUUUAACGAGGAUCAAUUGGAGGGCAAGUCUGGUGCC